This 467-nucleotide ribosomal RNA is filed under the name uncultured bacterium. Its description in RNAcentral is "partial 16S ribosomal RNA". It matches the Rfam family "Bacterial small subunit ribosomal RNA", at positions 28 to 506 of the family's 1533-position model. The record is from RNAcentral.
GACGAACGCUGGCGGCGUGCUUAACACAUGCAAGUCGAACGGAAAGGCCCUGCUUUUGUGGGGUGCUCGAGUGGCGAACGGGUGAGUAACACGUGAGUAACCUGCCCUUGACUUUGGGAUAACUUCAGGAAACUGGGGCUAAUACCGGAUAGGAGCUCCUGCUGCAUGGUGGGGGUUGGAAAGUUUCGGCGGUUGGGGAUGGACUCGCGGCUUAUCAGCUUGUUGGUGGGGUAGUGGCUUACCAAGGCUUUGACGGGUAGCCGGCCUGAGAGGGUGACCGGCCACAUGGGGACGGGAGUACGGCCCAGCCUCCUAGGGGGGGAAGCAGGGGGGAAUAUUGCACAAGGGGCGGAAGCCGGAUGCAGCAACGCCGGGGGCGGGAGGACGGCCUUGGGGUUGUAAACCGCUUUCGCCUGGGACGAAGGGUGAGUGACGGUAAUGGGAAAAGAAGCACCGGCUAACUACGG